CCUACGGGAGGCAGCAGUGGGGAAUUUUGCGCAAUGCUCGCAAGAGUGACGCAGCGACGCCGCGUGAAUGACGAAGGCCUUCGGGUCGUAAAGUUCUUUCGACAGGGAAGAAAAUGCCUAUAAGCAACUGUGUAUGUAUCGACGGUACCUGUAUAAGCAGCCCCGGCUAACUCCGUGCCAGCAGCCGCGGCAAUACGGAGGGGGCGAGCGUUGUUCGGAGUGACUGGGCGUAAAGAGAACGUAGGCGGUGUUGUAAGUCAUUAGUCAAAGAGUAGAGCUCAACUUUAGUAAGGCUAGUGAUACUAUAAUACUGGAGUAUCAGAGAGGAAUGCGGAAUUCCUGGUGUAGCGGUGAAAUGCGUAGAUAUCAGGAGGAAUACCGUUAGCGAAGGCGGCAAUCUGGCUGGAAACUGACGCUGAGGUGCGAAAGCGUGGGUAGCAAACAGGAUUAGAUACCCUGGUAGUC
RNAcentral lists this ribosomal RNA (465 nucleotides) under uncultured bacterium. RNAcentral describes it as "partial 16S ribosomal RNA". It matches the Rfam family "Bacterial small subunit ribosomal RNA", at positions 338 to 795 of the family's 1533-position model. The record is from RNAcentral.